AAACGGAUCUUGUAAGUUGAGAACUUCUAGAACCUAACCGAAAGCUGAGUUAACUCAAGAAGCUGCAAUGCAAAGGCUUAAAUCCUUCUGGAAUCACUGAGGCUGGCAGUGUGGGGUCAAACAGCAACUGGUUUCAACCUUCACAAUUCCGAUCCGCCCAGAAGAGAGCUAGAAAAGCAGGAAGAUAAACCAAGAAGUGGACCUCCUGGAUCUGCUUUGAUAAUUCCCUUAAUACUCUUAGUUAUGUCAAUAUAAGUUUGUACCUUGUGGCUGCAGAGCAGGUACCUAUUGAAGAUCCAGGACGCAUGAGAACAUGAAUGCCUAGAAAUUCUUGACUAGGUUUGGUAAGCCCAAUCCCGAGCAACAAACAGUAAAUAACAUUUCAUUUGUAGAUCAAGUGAAAUCCAUCUUUUCCCAAGUCAGAUCAACCGGGAAUGGGGUGCAGGGGUUUAGUGAAGCUAUUUCAAACCAUACUGGCUGAAUCGCUAUCCCCCUAGUUCCAAAUUUCCAAUCUGAGGAUGAUAUACAACAUAUUUAGCAACCUGUACGGCAGCAUACAUUUUAUAGAUAAAUGUAUUUCUAUACAUCAGAAUAGAAAAAAUUUUCAAAAUUUCAAUAUUUCAAAAAUAUUUUCUUUCUAUUCUCUAAAUAAACUAAGCUAUAUGUCAUGAAACU
Galeopterus variegatus (Sunda flying lemur) is the source of this 675-nucleotide long non-coding RNA. RefSeq lists it as uncharacterized. The record is from RefSeq and is a predicted model, not a curated record. Lineage: Eukaryota; Metazoa; Chordata; Mammalia; Dermoptera; Cynocephalidae. The transcript has 4 exons.